RNAcentral lists this ribosomal RNA (373 nucleotides) under uncultured bacterium. Its description in RNAcentral is "bacterial SSU rRNA". It matches the Rfam family "Bacterial small subunit ribosomal RNA", at positions 521 to 896 of the family's 1533-position model. The record is from RNAcentral.
UAAUACGAAGGUGGCAAGCGUUGUUCGGAUUUACUGGGCGUACAGGGAGCGUAGGCGGUUCGGUAAGCCCUCUGUGAAAUCUCCAGGCUUAACCUGGAACAGUCGGAGGGGACUGCUGGGCUAGAGGACGGGAGAGGAGCGCGGAAUUCCCGGUGUAGCGGUGAAAUGCGUAGAGAUCGGGAGGAAGGCCGGUGGCGAAGGCGGCGCUCUGGAACGUUUCUGACGCUGAGGCUCGAAAGCGUGGGGAGCAAACAGGAUUAGAUACCCUGGUAGUCCACGCCUUAAACUAUGAAUACUAAGUGUCGGCGGGUUACCGCCGGUGCCGCAGCUAACGCAUUAAGUAUUCCGCCUGGGAAGUACGGCCGCAAGGUUG